This 132-nucleotide small RNA is filed under the name Escherichia coli. RNAcentral describes it as "RtT sRNA". It matches the Rfam family "RtT RNA". Rfam says of the family: This family represents a bacterial cis-regulatory element known as RtT RNA. The exact function of RtT is unknown although it is thought that it may be involved in changing the cellular response in relation to amino acid starvation. Lineage: Bacteria; Pseudomonadati; Pseudomonadota; Gammaproteobacteria; Enterobacterales; Enterobacteriaceae. The record is from RNAcentral.
AUUCUGCCCAUGCGGGGAAGGAUGAGAAGCUUCGACCAAGCUCAGACUCGAGCCACAGCGAGAAAUGGUAGCCGCAGGCAACAACCGGAAAGGUGAAGCACCUGGCGGCGAGAAAGCCUCACCCCACCCCAC